Molecule: ribosomal RNA, 477 nt
Filed under: uncultured bacterium
Lineage: Bacteria
Description: partial 16S ribosomal RNA
Rfam family: Bacterial small subunit ribosomal RNA
Source: RNAcentral
AUGAACGCUGGCGGCGUGCUUAACACAUGCAAGUCGAACGAGAAGUGAAGACGGAAACCUUCGGGCGGAAGGCUUAAUUUCGAGUGGCGGACGGGUGAGUAACGCGUGGGUAACCUGCCUCAUACAGGGGGAUAACAGUUGGAAACGACUGUUAAUACCGCAUAAGACCACAGCACCGCAUGGUGCGGGGGUAAAAACUCCGGUGGUAUGAGAUGGACCCGCGUUCGAUUAGCCAGUUGGCGGGGUAACGGCCCACCAAAGCGACGAUCGAUAGCCGAUCUGAGAGGAUGACCGGCCACAUUGGGACUGAGACACGGCCCAAACUCCUACGGGAGGCAGCAGUGGGGAAUAUUGCACAAUGGGGGAAACCCUGAUGCAGCGACGCCGCGUGAGUGAAGAAGUAUUUCGGUAUGUAAAGCUCUAUCAGCAGGGAAGAAAAUGACGGUACCUGAGGAAGAAGCCCCGGCUAACUACGUG